This 382-nucleotide ribosomal RNA is filed under the name uncultured eukaryote. Its description in RNAcentral is "partial 18S ribosomal RNA". It matches the Rfam family "Eukaryotic small subunit ribosomal RNA", at positions 592 to 975 of the family's 1831-position model. The record is from RNAcentral.
CAAUAGCGUAUAUUAAAGUUGUUGCAGUUAAAAAGCUCGUAGUUGGAUUUCUGGCAGGAGCGACCGGUCACACACUCUGUGUGUGAACUUGUGUUGUCUCUGGCCAUCCUUGGGGAGAUCCUGUUUGGCAUUAAGUUGUCGGGCAGGGGACAUCCAUCGUUUACUGUGAAAAAAUUAGAGUGUUUAAAGCAGGCUUAUGCCGUUGAAUAUAUUAGCAUGGAAUAAUAAGAUAGGACUUCGGAACUAUUUUGUUGGUUUGCGUUACGAAGUAAUGAUUAAUAGGGACAGUUGGGGGUAUUCGUAUUUCGUUGUCAGAGGUGAAAUUCUUGGAUUUCCGAAAGACGAACUACUGCGAAAGCAUUUACCAAGGAUGUUUUCAUUA